CUGAGUUUUUGGUUUGAUUUGUGUUUCUGAGUCUUUGGUUUGAUUUGUGUUUUUCAGUCUGGUUUGAUCUGUGUUUCUGAGUCUUUGGUUUGAUUUGUGUCUUUGCAGUCUUUGGUUUGAUUUGCGUUGCUCAGUCUUUUGUUUGAUUUGUGUCUCGGUCUUUGGUUUGAUUUGUGUUACUGAGUCUUUUGUUUGAUUUGUGUUGCUUAGUCUUUGGUUUGAUUUGUGUUUCUGAGAUUCUGGUUUGAUUUGUGUUUCUGAGUCUUUUGUUUGAUUUGUGUUUCUGAGUCUUUGGUUUGAUUUGUGUUUUUCAGUCUUUGGUUUGAUUUUCGUUUCUGAGUCUUUGGUUUGAUUUGUGUUUCUGAGUCUUUGGUUUGAUUUGUGUUUCUGAGUCCUUUCUUUGAUUUGUGUUUCUGAGUCUUUGGUUUAAAUUGUGUUGCUGAGUCUUUUGUUUGAUUUGUGUUGCUGAGUCUUUGGUUUGUUUUGUGUUUCUGAGUCUUUGGUUUGAUAUUGUGUUGCUCAGUCUUUGGUUUGAUAUGAGUUUUUAAGUCUUUGGUUUGAUUUGUGUUUUUCAGUCUUUUGUUUGAUUUGUGUUUCUGAGUCUUUGGUUUGAUUUGUGUUGCUGAGUCUUUGGUUUGAUUUGUGUUGCUCAGUCUUUGGUUUGAUUUGUGUUACUAAGUCCUUGGUUUGAUGUGUGUUUUCGGUCUUUGGUUUGAUUUGUGUUUCUGAGUCUUUGGUUUGAUUUGAGUUGCUCAGUCUUUGGUUUGAUUUGUGUUUUUCAAUCUUUGGUUUGAUUUGUGUUGCUGAGUCUUUGGUUUGAUUUGCGUUUUUCAGUCUUUGGUUUGAUUUGAUUUUUCAGUCUUUGGUUUGAUUUGAGUUUUUCAGUCUUUGGUUUGAUUUGAGUUGCUGAGUCCUUGGUUUGAUUUGUGUUGCUAAGUCCUUGGUUUGAUGCGUGUUUUCCGUCUUUGGUUUGAUUUGUGUCUGUUGGUCUUUGGUUUGAUUUGUGUUGCUGAGUCUUUUGUUUGAAAUGUGUUUUUCAGUCGUUGGUUUGAUUUGUGUUUCUGAGUCCUUUGUUUGAUUUGUGUUUUUCAGUCUUUGGUUUGAUUUGUGUGUUCUGAGUCGUUGGUUUGAUUUGUGUUGCUCAGUCUUUGCUUUGAUUUGUGUUGCUAAGUCUUUGUUUGAUGUGUGUUUUCGGUCUUUGGUUUGAUUUGUGUCUCUCAGUCUUUGGUUUGAUAUGUGUUGCUGAGUCUUUGGUUUGAUUUGUGUUGCUGAGUUGUUUGUUUGAUUUGUGUUUUUCAGUCUUUGGUUUGAUUUUUGUUUUUUCAGUCUGUUGUUUGAUUUGUGUUUCUGAGUCCUUGGUUUGAUUUGUGUUGCUGAGUCUUUGGUUUGAUUUGUGUUGCUGAGUCUUUGGUUUGAUUUGUGUUUUUCAGUCUUUGGUUUGAUUUGUGUUUUUCAGUCUUUGGUUUGAUUUAAGUUUUUUAGUCUUUGGUUUGAUUUGUGUUGCUUGUUCUUUUGUUUGAUUUGAGUUGCUGAGUCUUUGUUUGAUUUGAGUUUUUCAGUCUUUGGUUUGAUUUGCGUUUCUUAGAAUUUGGUUUAGAUUUGUGUUUCUGAGUCUUUGGUAUGAUUUGUGUUUCUGAGUCGUUGGUUUGAUUUGUGUUGCUCAGUCUUUGCUUUGAUUUGUGUUGCUAAGUCUUUGUUUGAUGUGUGUUUUCGGUCUUUGGUUUGAUUUGUGUCUCUCGGUCUUUCUUUUGAUAUGUGUUGCUGAGUCCUUGGUUUGAUUUGUGUUUUUCAGUCUUUGGUUUGAUUUGUGUUGCUGAGUCUUUGGUUUGAUUUGUGUCGCUGAGUCUUUGGUUUGAUUUGUGUCUCUCGGUCUUUGGUUUGAUUUGUGUUGCUGAGUCUUUGGUUUGAUUUGUGUUUCUGAUUCUUUGGUUUGAUUUGUGUUUCUGAGUCUUUGUUUUGAAAUGUGUUUUUCAGUCUUUGGUUUGAUUUGUGUUGCUGAGUCUUUGGUUUGAUUUGCGUUUUUCAGUCUGUUGUUUGAUUUGUGUUGCUAAGUCUUUUGUUUGAUUUGUGCUUCUGAGUCUUUGGUUUGAUUUGUGUUGCUGAGUCUUUGGUUUGAUUUGUGUUUUUCAGUCUUUGUUUUGAUUUGUGUUUCUGAGUCUUUUGUUUGAUUUGUGUUUCUGAGUCUUUGAUUUGAUUUGUGUUUUUUCAGUCUGCUGUUUAAUUUGUGUUUCUGAGUCCUUUCUUUGAUUUGUGUUUCUGAGUCUUUGGUUUGAUUUGUGUUUCUGAGUCUUUGGUUUGAUUUGUGUUGAUGAGUCUUUGGUUUGAUUUGUGUUUUUCAGUCUUUGGUUUGAUUUGUGUUUCACAGUCCUUUCUUUGAUUUGUGUUUCUGAGUCUUUGGUUUGAUUUGUGUUGAUGAGUCUUUGGUUUGAUUUGUGUUUCACAGUCCUUUCUUUGAUUUGUGUUUCUGAGUCUUUGGUUUGAUUUGUGUUGAUGAGUCUUUGGUUUGAUUUGUGUUUUUCAGUCUUUGGUUUGAUUUGUGUUUCACAGUCCUUUCUUUGAUUUGUGUUUCUGAGUCUUUGGUUUGAUUUGUGUUGCUGAGUCUUUGGUUUGAUUUGUGUUUUUCAGUCUUUGGUUUGAUUUGUGUUUUUUCAGUCUGCUGUUUAAUUUGUGUUUCUGAGUCCUUUCUUUGAUUUGUGUUUCUGAGUCUUUGGUUUGAUUUGUGUUGCUGAGUCUUUGGUUUGAUUUGUGUUUUUCAGUCUUUGGUUUGAUUUGUGUUUUUCAGUCUUUGGUUUGAUUUAAGUUUUUUAGUCUUUGGUUUGAUUUGUGUUGCUUGUUCUUUUGUUUGAUUUGAGUUGCUGAGUCUUUGUUUGAUUUGAGUUUUUCAGUCUUUGGUUUGAUUUGCGUUUCUUAGAAUUUGGUUUAGUUUGAGUUUCUCGGGUCUUUGGUUAUUUUGUGUAGUGUGCACUGAUAAGCACAAUGUGCUUCAGGUAAUUCAGAAUUGAAUUGAAUUGUGUUACUCAGUCUUUGGUUUGAUUUGAUUUUUUUAGUCUUUGGUUUGAUUUGCGUUUCUCAGACUUUGGUUAAAUUUUGAGUUUCUCCGCUGGUUAUUUUGUGUAGUGUUUGUAGACAGUUGUUUCUC
Molecule: long non-coding RNA, 3139 nt
Filed under: Mytilus galloprovincialis (Mediterranean mussel)
Lineage: Eukaryota; Metazoa; Mollusca; Bivalvia; Mytilida; Mytilidae
Source: RNAcentral